Molecule: non-coding RNA, 1355 nt
Organism: Peromyscus maniculatus bairdii (prairie deer mouse)
Lineage: Eukaryota; Metazoa; Chordata; Mammalia; Rodentia; Cricetidae
Source: RefSeq, a predicted model, not a curated record
CCCCGAGCUUUCGGCUCCGGUUGGCCCCUAGUGGGCGGAGAUGAGUGCUCUGGGUCCUGGGUCAGGUGGCAGGGGCCUCUGUAAUUUGCUUUCCUUUGGUUCGCUCGGGAACCCAGGAAAGAAGACCAGGAAGGUAGAAGGGAAAAUUGUCACCUGCCGAACGGAAGGUUCCCAAUUGCUGCUACGAGGUGAAGUUCAAGCUGCUUAGAGCAGUGUUCCAGAGGACAGCAUCCUCCCCUGAAAUCUGGACCAUGCCUGCAUGCUCUCCCUACAUCCCCUAAGCACUUAGGACUUUGCUGCAUGGCCCUGCUCUGUGACUGUUGACACCAGACGUCAUGUUGACAGCAGAUAGUAUGAAAUCCACUUUUGGAAGCUAAAUGUCUCACAACCCUGGGGAACCAGAGGAUUCUGAUCCAGGCAAGCUCAACUAAGUCAACUUAAGUUUUCCCUGGAGCCAUUGCGGGUAGACCCUGGAAAUAAGAGCUUUAAAAUUAGUAGCAUUCAUGUUCAUACCUUUAUAACAUCUGUCACAGCGCCUGUCCCACAGCUGAUGCGUGACUGGUAGUUGUUGAGCAGCUAAACCUGGUACUUCUGAGAACAGCUAGAAGUCCCAGUACCCUCAGGUGAUUCCGCACUCCACGAUGAGUCCAAACAUGGACAGGACUCUGGGAAUGUCAUGGAAACCAAGGACCUACGAGCACACUGAGCUGCACGAUGGCUUUCGUUUCUGGUUGACUCGGUUCUUUGUCAGGUCAUGGUAGGCCUUGGCAGGCGGGCUAUCACCAAAUAGAGCACCAGAGGAAAGCACCUCUAACAUGCAUUCUGAGUCACUCAGCCCACCACGGUGACAGAUUCUAUAGUCUCACAUUACUGGAAAACAUAUGUAGUCAUUUUCCAACUUCGAGCACUCAUCCAAAAGGGAACUUGUGAACCUGGCAUUAGGCUCAUGCGUUUGCUGUGAUGGGAAGGGGGAACUUUAAAAGUGAUUCCUAAAGAAAACUGGAGAACGAAGUGAGCGUUUGGAGCAUAAAGUAGAGAAAACAGUCCAUUUGGAUCAAGACAUGCUGUUUUUGUCCUUUGGCAGUUUCCUUAUACGUCAUCUUGCAAACCAUCCUAACCAUCAUCCGAGAGGGUUCUGAAGGCACAAGGCAAGCAUAAACAUUCCCUGAAAGAAUCCUGACAUAUGUGUUCUUUUGUGCCUUAAAUCUUCACUGUGUCUCUUACAUGUGAGUCAAUAAUUCAUUCAAAAAAGCAUAGUUUUCAAUUUGAAAUCAUAUGUUGAAGCCAUGACUUUUAUCCAUAUCAGGUUCUAAUGUCUACAUCCAUUACCUAAUACAUUAGAAUGAUUAUGUCCA